UGGGGAAUAUUGCACAAUGGGCGGAAGCCUGAUGCAGCGACGCCGCGUGGGGGAUGAAGGCCUUCGGGUUGUAAACUCCUUUCGACAGGGACGAAGCUUUUGUGACGGUACCUGUAUAAGAAGCACCGGCUAACUACGUGCCAGCAGCCGCGGUAAUACGUAGGGUGCGAGCGUUGUCCGGAAUUACUGGGCGUAAAGAGCUCGUAGGUGGUUUGUCGCGUCGUCUGUGAAAUUCCGGGGCUUAACUCCGGGCGUGCAGGCGAUACGGGCUGACUUGAGUGCUGUAGGGGAGACUGGAAUUCCUGGUGUAGCGGUGAAAUGCGCAGAUAUCAGGAGGAACACCGAUGGCGAAGGCAGGUCUCUGAGCAGUAACUGACGCUGAGGAGCGAAAGCAUGGGUAGCGAACAGG
This 409-nucleotide ribosomal RNA is filed under the name Actinomycetes bacterium. Its description in RNAcentral is "Actinobacteria bacterium partial 16S ribosomal RNA". It matches the Rfam family "Bacterial small subunit ribosomal RNA", at positions 355 to 776 of the family's 1533-position model. The record is from RNAcentral. Lineage: Bacteria; Bacillati; Actinomycetota; Actinomycetes.